RNAcentral lists this ribosomal RNA (463 nucleotides) under uncultured bacterium. RNAcentral's name for it is "partial 16S ribosomal RNA". It matches the Rfam family "Bacterial small subunit ribosomal RNA", at positions 28 to 506 of the family's 1533-position model. The record is from RNAcentral.
GACGAACGCUGGCGGCGUGCUUAACACAUGCAAGUCGAACGGUAAGGCCCCAGCUUGCUGGGGUACACGAGUGGCGAACGGGUGAGUAACACGUGGGUGACCUGCCCCGCACUUCGGGAUAAGCCUGGGAAACUGGGUCUAAUACCGGAUAGGACCGCACCGUGAGGGUGUGGUGGAAAGUUUUUCGGUGUGGGAUGGGCCCGCGGCCUAUCAGCUUGUUGGUGGGGUAAUGGCCGACCAAGGCGGCGACGGGUAGCCGGCCUGAGAGGGUGGACGGCCACAUUGGGACUGAGACACGGCCCAGACUCCUACGGGAGGCAGCAGUGGGGAAUAUUGCACAAUGGGCGGAAGCCUGAUGCAGCGACGCCGCGUGGGGGAUGACGGCCUUCGGGUUGUAACCUCCUUUCACCAUCGACGAAGGUUUUCUGACGGUAGAUGGAGAAGAAGCACCGGCUAACUACGU